AACGAACGCUGGCGGCAGGCUUAACACAUGCAAGUCGAGCGCGCCCUUCGGGGUGAGCGGCGGACGGGUUAGUAACGCGUGGGAACGUACCCUUUUCUAAGGAAUAGUCACUGGAAACGGUGGGUAAUACCUUAUACGCCCUUCGGGGGAAAGAUUUAUCGGUAAAGGAUCGGCCCGCGUUAGAUUAGAUAGUUGGUGGGGUAAUGGCCUACCAAGUCUACGAUCUAUAGCUGGUUUUAGAGGAUGAUCAGCAACACUGGGACUGAGACACGGCCCAGACUCCUACGGGAGGCAGCAGUGGGGAAUCUUAGACAAUGGGCGCAAGCCUGAUCUAGCCAUGCCGCGUGAGUGAUGAAGGUCUUAGGAUCGUAAAGCUCUUUCGCUGGGGAAGAUAAUGACUGUACCCAGUAAAGAAGUCCCGGCUAACCCCGUGCCAGCAGCCGCGGUAAUACGGAGGGGACUAGCGUUGUUCGGAAUUACUGGGCGUAAAGCGUGCGUAGGCGGAUCAGCAAGUUGGGGGUGAAAUCCCGGGGCUCAACCCCGGAACUGCCUCCAAAACUGUUGGUCUAGAGUUCGAGAGAGGUGAGUGGAAUUCCGAGUGUAGAGGUGAAAUUCGUAGAUAUUCGGAGGAACAUCAGUGGCGAAGGCGGCUCACUGGCUCGAUGCUGACGCUGAGGUACGAAAGUGUGGGGAGCAAACAGG
Molecule: ribosomal RNA, 702 nt
Filed under: uncultured bacterium
Lineage: Bacteria
Description: bacterial SSU rRNA
Rfam family: Bacterial small subunit ribosomal RNA
Source: RNAcentral